Molecule: long non-coding RNA, 349 nt
Filed under: Elaeis guineensis (African oil palm)
Lineage: Eukaryota; Viridiplantae; Streptophyta; Magnoliopsida; Arecales; Arecaceae
Description: long non-coding RNA (EGUI_LNC012147)
Source: RNAcentral
CUUUGAUGAAGUCAUGUUUGCAUGUUGCAAAAUAAUAAUAUAGCCUUCAAAAGAAAGGCUGACUAGCCUCAUUAAGCUUACUGACAUUCAUCAACAUUGUGCUCUCAGGAUUAAUUUGCUUGAUGAUCUAGCAGUACUCUCAUAGAUGGGCAUACUGCUUCCUAUGGCUAAUAUGAACAAUCUCUAGUGCUCUAGUAUUCGCUCCGUAAAAGCCUUCAUAUCCCUCCUUACUUGCUCUCUGAAGUACUUGACACUCUAUUUUGCAUUGGAUCUAAUCUCUCAAGAUACUUUUCUCCUAGAAACUUGAAUGUGACAUUAUAAUUUUAAAAUUAUUUUUCAAACUGUGCAU